GAUCAGAUGGUAUAUCUCCGUUUCAAGAGGGGCGAGACCUAAGCCAUCCCUGGAUGCAUAAAGGACUUUGCUAAAUUAACAGAGGGCUAGAAAAAUGGGGACCACCGUAGACUGGCCUGAGGCUGCGGCUGUGGGCACCACACCCUACGACUACGAGGAGGCAAUGCCGUGUGAAAAAGUCAAUGUCAAGGAGCUGGGGGCGCAGUUCCUGCCCCCGCUGUAUUCCCUGGUGUUCGGGGCUGGGCUGCUGGGCAAUGUGGUGGUGCUGGUGAUCCUCACAAAAUACAAGAGGCUCCGGAUUGUGACCAACAUCUACCUGUUUAAUUUGGCGAUUUCUGACUUGCUCUUUCUAUUCACUCUGCCGUUCUGGAUUCACUAUGUGGCGUGGAAUGAGUGGGUCUUUGGUCACCGCAUGUGUAAGUUCCUCUCAGGGCUUUAUUAUCUGGGCUUGUACAGCGAGAUCUUCUUCAUCAUCCUGCUGACGAUAGACCGGUACCUGGCCAUCGUCCACGCCGUGUUCGCCCUUCGAACCCGAACUAUAACAUUUGGCAUGGCAACCAGCAUCUUCACAUGGGGCCUGGCAGGGCUAGCAGCCCUCCCGGAAUUUAUCUUCCACGAGUCCCAAGAGGAUUUUGGAAAGCCUGUGUGUAGUCCUCUUUACCCAGAAAAUGAAGAAAACACCUGGAAGCAUUUCCUCGUGCUGCGAAUGAAUAUCUUGGGUCUUGCCCUGCCUCUGCUAGUUAUGGCUGUCUGCUACUCAGGAAUCAUCAAAACGCUGCUGAGAUGUCCCAGUAAAAAGAAGUACAAGGCCAUCCGGCUCAUUUUUGUCAUCAUGGUGGUCUUUUUCAUUUUCUGGACACCUUACAACCUGGUUCUCCUUCUCUCUGUUUUUCAAACGACCUUCUUUGAGACAGACUGUGAGAAGAGCAAGCAGCUGGACCUGGCCAUGCUGGUGACGGAGGUGAUCGCCUACUCGCACUGCUGCGUCAACCCCGUGAUCUACGCCUUCGUCGGUGAGAAGUUCCAAAAACACCUUCGCCACUUUUUCUACAGGCAUGUGGCCAUCUACCUGGGCAAAUACAUCCCAUUCCUUCCUAAGGAGAAACUGGAAAGAGCCAGCUCUAUAUCCCCAUCGACAGGGGAGCAGGAACUUUCUAUUGUAUUUUAAGUCAGAUGCAGAAAAAGUCCUUAAGAACAGGUGCUGGGCGGAUGAAGCAAACGCAUUGACCCCUCCACCACCCCUUUGAAUUUCCAGCACAACACUGAAGCCCGUGAAGAGAUUAAAAUAUACACACAAUGAUGGUAAUAUAGCUGUGUGCCCCAAAGUCAUUACCAGAGGUCAAUGGCUGGUCAGUUUACUUAGUGUCAAACAUGAAAAGCAGAGUUUUGCUUGAUUCUCUGUAGAGUUACAUGUAUUUUAGUGCACCUGAAUGUUAGUAUAUGCAGCUGCAAACAGGUAUAUCUUUAAAUAUUCUAGAUCGUAACUUCAGCCAGCUACUGCUUAAGGGAAACAUUUCACAAAAUACAAUGAAUCAGUUAUAAUGCUUCUUAAUAUGCCAGCCCUUUCCAAGCUUGAUGAAAAGAUUUUUUUUUUUUAGCUUAUGGAUAUGUACUCUCAAGCAACCUCAUGGCAUAUAACAUCUGUUCUGAAUAUGCUUCAUAGCGAAUUUAUUUCCUAUUCACACCAAAUGACCAUAUUUCCCAUGAGGGACUUAAAAGAAGAAGAGCAAUUUGGUAUUUUUAGUGUAGAGAAUAAAGGCGCUGCUCAUAGAAAUUCCUCAGAGCCCUGAAAUGUGCAGACACUGUCCUCUUAAAUGCUUGUCCAACAACUUUGCGUUAGGCAAUACAGACAAGAUGCACAGACAUGGCUUUAGGUUAACUGGAGAAAGCAGAAAUGUCUAAGACAAACACAUUCCCUGCCCCCAUGAAACCUUCCAUCUAGCAGAGGAUGUAAGAUAGGAAAAAAUAGCUGCAGUGCAAAGAGAAACACACUCACUGCUCUGCCUGGCCCAGGAAGGGAAAGACCAUUUCCAGCUGGAAGACUUAAUGGAGGAAGUAGCUUUUGAGAGGUUCUCUGAAGAAGGGGCAGGAUUUGGAAAGUGAGAGGAUUUGGAAGAUGCAUCUUAAUCCAAUGGAAUCCUCAAAACAAAGUAAUCAACUAAGGUGACAGUUUACCUCCUUCUCAACUGCUGGAAUUAAAGAUAGCAUCACUGGUAUCGAAACAAUUGCACUGUUGUUUGUGCUCUGCCUGAGGAAGGUGCCUUCUGAGUAGUAUUCUCAGAAGCUCACUCUUUGACACCUCCUAGGAACCACUUCCAGUCCUCUUGGCCUUCACUGCUGGGGGCUCCCAUCAGCCUCACGUAGGUGCAGACUGACGGCGCCUCAUUGGGGCCAAGCCAUGACUCUCACCAUCCAUCCUGGGACUCCUCUGUUGACACUCAGGGCCCACACACAUGCAAGCUGGAAGAACAGGCAACUUGAUGUUCAGGGAGGCAAAGCUUUGACCAAUGGGAGACAGGAGCUGGUGGAGAAAUGUGUCUGCCUCCAUCCCCCAGGCAGACAAUCCUGAAAGGCGUCUCUUAUCUUCCAGCACUCGUGGUGGCCACAGUGUCCUUGUACUGGCCUUGCUCCCUCCCUGCCUUACUACCUGAGAUCACACAUCCUGAUGAAGUUCUGGGACAUAAGCCUUGAUCUUGGGCUCUGCCUUCUGGGGAACCCAAGUGAAUAGGAUUAUGGUCAUUACCUUCACUUUCAUUUUUAAAUUUCUAAAAAUUUUUCUAUGCACUGGGGGUUCCAUACAAGCACCUGAGAAAAGUUUGUUCUUAAACCUUGAAUAUAAUAAUGUGUUGUGGAGCAAUGUAACUGGCAUUAAAUAUUUUUCCAUCUGCAGUUCAGCUUUCAUUGCACACACACCCCUGGAGAGGAAGGAUGGCAGGAUCUUUACAGCAGUGCCAAGUCAGAAAUACUUACGCUUUCAAGGUGACUUCUCCAGUGGAUUCCAGCAAAUCAGCUCUUUUUCCACAAGCAGCUAUUGGUUGUUAGCAAGUUCUACUAUGCCAGUACUGUUAUCUGUCAAGUGUAUCAUUACACUGUCUUUUGAUCAAACAGCAUUUCUAACCCAUCAUGGAUGCUAUGCCAUUUGUGUAAGCACUUUGGAUAAGUGUAUUUCAAAGCAAUAUCAAUAUCUUGUACAUAUCCUGACAUGUGGUAAUUUUCCUUAUACUAAAAACUAAAUAAUAUAAGAGACCUUCUACCUUUUUGCUUAGGACCAGCAAUUCUGCUACAUUAUGCUGUACUGUCGGUACUUUCUGAAAACACAACUGAAAGGUGUGAACAAAACAUUGUGUGCUUGUAAUCCCUAAAUCACUCAUGGUUUCACCAUGUGUUUUCCAUUAUCAAAGACAAUUACAGAACAUUUUACUUUAUGGAUUUUCCACACAGUAAAUAUUU
RNA transcript from Manis javanica (Malayan pangolin), 3450 nucleotides. It is a transcript of the gene named C-C motif chemokine receptor 3, with no coding region annotated. The record is from RefSeq and is a predicted model, not a curated record. NCBI's taxonomy places the organism in Eukaryota, Metazoa, Chordata, Mammalia, Pholidota, Manidae.